GUCUUCGUGGUGUAAUGAUUAGCACACUGAGCCGGUAUUUCAGAGGUCCGUGGUUCGAUCCCCGGCGAAGGCA
This 73-nucleotide transfer RNA is filed under the name Stegodyphus mimosarum. It matches the Rfam family "tRNA". Rfam says of the family: Transfer RNA (tRNA) molecules are approximately 80 nucleotides in length. Their secondary structure includes four short double-helical elements and three loops (D, anti-codon, and T loops). Further hydrogen bonds mediate the characteristic L-shaped molecular structure. tRNAs have two regions of fundamental functional importance: the anti-codon, which is responsible for specific mRNA codon recognition, and the 3' end, to which the tRNAs corresponding amino acid is attached (by aminoacyl-tRNA synthetases). tRNAs cope with the degeneracy of the genetic code in two manners: having more than one tRNA (with a specific anti-codon) for a particular amino acid; and 'wobble' base-pairing, i.e. permitting non-standard base-pairing at the 3rd anti-codon position. The record is from Rfam by way of RNAcentral. Lineage: Eukaryota; Metazoa; Arthropoda; Arachnida; Araneae; Eresidae.